Molecule: non-coding RNA, 65 nt
Organism: Corynebacterium casei LMG S-19264
Lineage: Bacteria; Bacillati; Actinomycetota; Actinomycetes; Mycobacteriales; Corynebacteriaceae
Source: Rfam
ACUCAGGCACGAUCUUUGCCCUUUAUAGCAGUGAAGAACCGACCUGAAGUUUCAACCCUGAGGGA